CCUGGAUAUUUUUUAUUUUCUUAUUUAUUUUCUAUUUCUUCUGAUGCUGCUAUGAUUCUAACAGUCCUAAAAGGCACACGUGAUCCUCUUCACUUCCGCUGAAGACGGAGCCCGGAUGUUGGUCUCUCCUCAUAACAGAAAUAUCUCUGGCAGCGGGAUUCGUGACCGACGCAAAUUCUUCAUCUUCUUCUUCGUAUUUCAACUCGUCACAACCGUAUUUUAACAUAAACAUAACCCUAAAAAGUGUGUGACGUCAAAAAAGCAGCUCUUGACCAUCAAAUGCACAGUAAAUAAUAAAGGGAGCUCAUGUCGUAAAAGGUGCUGUUAGCGGAAGUUGCGUCACAGAUCAGUUGGUGUCUUCCGGCUGAGAGAGGAGCCGCGUGCGAGGGAGCCGAGUUCCCGCCGAAAGGAAGUAAUGAAUGUGUCUGGUUAGGUUGAGUGUGUUGAGGUCAGGGGUCAAUGAUGACUAGUCCACUGCGCAAACUGACCGGUGAAUGAAGAGAGCAGUGCUGAGCUCCGAGCGAGCGUCUGAUGACCGACCCGAGAAGAUCUGUGUGACCCUCGGCCGUCGUCGUCUUCUCUGAUCCUGUGUUUCUGUGUUUUCAGAUGAUCAGACGGAGAGAAGGUCUCCAGGACCAGCGGCUGCUUGAACCCAGCAUCACAUGCCUCUCUAAAGCGUGCUCGUACUCUUAAAUAAAUGUGUCCCAACCCACCUUUUCAUCGUUUCAUUCAGAUAUGCAUCACAAUACAAGUCUAUAUGAUCUGUUUAUAGCUCACUGUGUAGAUGAAGUGAGCACGGGUUAGUUAGUGUUUCUCUCAAUAAAGAUUCUGGCUUAAAUAUCUUUUAA
Molecule: long non-coding RNA, 848 nt
Organism: Puntigrus tetrazona (Sumatra barb)
Lineage: Eukaryota; Metazoa; Chordata; Actinopteri; Cypriniformes; Cyprinidae
Exons: 2
Source: RefSeq, a predicted model, not a curated record